GGUCACUGCUAUCAGUAUUCGAUUAAGCCAUGCGAGUCAAAUGUUUUUCGUAAACAUGGCGUACUGCUCAGUAACACGUGGAUAAUCUGCCCUAAGGUUAGGUAUAACUCUGGGAAACUGGUGAUAAUCCCUAAUAAGCCAUUGAUACUGGAAUGUUCUUUGGCUCAAAGCUCCGGCGCCUUAGGAUGAAUCUGCGGCCUAUCAGGUUGUAGUGGGUGUAGUGUACCUACUAGCCGACGACGGGUACGGGUUGUGAGAGCAAGAGCCCGGAGAUGGAUUCUGAGACAUGAAUCCAGGCCCUACGGGGCGCAGCAGGCGCGAAAACUUUACAAUGCGGGAAACCGCGAUAAGGGGAUACUGAGUGCCAGCAUUUAUGUUGGCUGUCCACAUGUAUAAAUAGCAUGUGUUAGCAAGGGCCGGGCAAGACCGGUGCCAGCCGCCGCGGUAACACCGGCGGCCCGAGUGGUGGCCACUAUUAUUGGGUCUAAAGGGUCCGUAGCCGGUUUGAUCAGUCUUCCGGGAAAUCUGACAGCUCAACUGUUAGGCUUCCGGGGGAUCUCUGUCAAACUUGGGACCGGGAGAGGUAAGAGGUACUACAGGGGUAGGAGUGAAAUCUUGUAAUCCUUGUGGGACCACCAGUGGCGAAGGCGCUUACCAGAACGGGUCCGACGGUGAGGGACGGAAGCUGGGGGCACGAACCGGAUUAGAUACCCGGGUAGUCCCAGCCGUAAACGAUGCUCGCUAGGUGUCUGGGACGGUGCGACCGUUUCAGGUGCCGCAGGGAAGCCNNGAAGCGANCCUCCUGGGAAGNCCGGCCAGNAAGCGACUGAAUAUUAAGAGAGAAUUGAGNGGCGAGGAACAUUCACAANGGNUNGANCGUAANAUUUA
Molecule: ribosomal RNA, 888 nt
Filed under: uncultured Methanosarcinaceae archaeon
Lineage: Archaea; Methanobacteriati; Methanobacteriota; Methanomicrobia; Methanosarcinales; Methanosarcinaceae
Description: bacterial SSU rRNA
Rfam family: Archaeal small subunit ribosomal RNA
Source: RNAcentral